UUGAAAAUAUGAUUUAAAUAUAGAAUCUGCAUUUCUGAACGAUGGAAAACUAUGCAUUGCACUUCAGUGCAACGAGGAUGAUGCACCUUUUUACCAGCAUGACUGCACAGAUGAAUUAGGGGCCAUUUGUGGCUUUUCUGAAAUACGCAAUAAAAAGAUGAGAUGGAAAGAAUCAUUUCUAAGUUGUAAAUCUAACAUCAGUACCAGUCAGAUGGGAAAGUUUGAUUUAACAAACGCUGAGGAAGCAUGUAAAAUAAUCAACAUUACAUCAGAUGUUCCAUUAUGGAUUGGUAUUGUUCGAGAAAAAUAUCUAUCGGAAGACCAAGGAGAAUCAAUUUUAGAUAGAAGUGUAUUCAUCAAAUGCCAGAAAUGCAAAGCAAGCCAUUGUGAAUAUGUGACAUGUUUC
Long non-coding RNA from Saccostrea echinata, 406 nucleotides. RefSeq lists it as uncharacterized. The transcript is spliced from 3 exons. Lineage: Eukaryota; Metazoa; Mollusca; Bivalvia; Ostreida; Ostreidae. The record is from RefSeq and is a predicted model, not a curated record.